Non-coding RNA from Cordylochernes scorpioides, 73 nucleotides. Lineage: Eukaryota; Metazoa; Arthropoda; Arachnida; Pseudoscorpiones; Chernetidae. The record is from the annotation of a GenBank genome assembly.
CGACGAAACCUGGGUUUGAAACAGGUAUCUUUAGAUCUUUAGUCUAAUGCUUUCCCAACAAAGCAUACUAUUC